Molecule: ribosomal RNA, 422 nt
Filed under: uncultured bacterium
Lineage: Bacteria
Description: bacterial SSU rRNA
Rfam family: Bacterial small subunit ribosomal RNA
Source: RNAcentral
UAGGGAAUAUUGGGCAAUGGGCGAGAGCCUGACCCAGCCAUGCCGCGUGAAGGAUGAAGGCUUUCUGAGUUGUAAACUUCUUUUGAUUGGGAACAAAGAGACCUUGCGAGGUAAGAUGAGUGUACCAAUAGAAUAAGCACCGGCUAACUCCGUGCCAGCAGCCGCGGUAAUACGGAGGGUGCAAGCGUUGUCCGGAUUUAUUGGGUUUAAAGGGUGCGUAGGCGGCCCUCUAAGUCAGUGGUGAAAUACUGCAGCUUAACUGUAGCAUUGCCAUUGAUACUGGAGGGCUUGAGUACAGAUGAGGUAGGCGGAAUUUAUGGUGUAGCGGUGAAAUGCAUAGAUACCAUAAAGAACACCUAUUGCGAAGGCAGCUUACUAAGCUGUAACUGACGCUGAGGCACGAAAGCGUGGGGAGCGAACAG